Herpailurus yagouaroundi (jaguarundi) is the source of this 932-nucleotide long non-coding RNA. RefSeq lists it as uncharacterized. The record is from RefSeq and is a predicted model, not a curated record. The transcript has 3 exons. NCBI's taxonomy places the organism in Eukaryota, Metazoa, Chordata, Mammalia, Carnivora, Felidae.
UGGAAACAUCAGGUUUUAACAUUUUCCCUGCCACAUCGCCUUACUUAUAUACAUUUUGGCCAGCAGAUGGCAGCACUCAACCAAGGUUAUUUUCAGCAAAACUCCAGACAAAACCUGAGAUUGCAAAGAGGGGAGGUAAAACAAUGAGACAUCCUCAACCCAGGAGUUGAAGGUGACAAUGUCAUUAUAUGAUGUACAGUCACUAUAGGGAGAUGCCAUUUUUAUUGGCACUUAAGUGAUGAGGCAGGAAGGAAAGAACUUGUAAACAGUGAGACUUGGAAGAAACUCCACUUGGUUCUCUCUCUCCUCUCCUCUGUCUUCUCCCCCAAAGCCCAGAACUGCUCCCAUGAAAGUCUGAUACCCGACCCCCUUAUCUCAGCCAUCUUUACUAGUUGCUGAGCCCCAGGGCAGGCCAGAGACUGGUUUAAAACACCACAGCUAGCAGGUGCCAGAGCUAGGACUUAAAGACAAGAAUUUGGAUAAGCCCAGUCCUUCCACUGGAACGGAAACUGGUUCUGAGCUCAUGCCAUUUAUUUGCAAAAUGAGUGGGCUCAAAGGUAACAGGGACCUGGGCACCAAGGAUUCCCUGAUGAAGAAUCCUUGCAGUUCAUUUUGACCCACAAUAUCCCAGAGACAGACCUUUUGUAUUGCUUUGGAGCCUCUUCCCACAUCUGCAGCUGAAUGUGACAGGAUGUGGGUAAGAGGACUUAGAUACUGCGAUGCAGGAAUCCCUGGCUUUACAUAACACAAGCUCUGCUCUGCUGACGGUGCAAAACUCAAUACAAGAAAGAAGCAACUCAAGAAAGACACGCAUGGCUGUGAACAUUUUGAUUUGUUGUAAUUUCCUCCCCAUACCUCACCCCCACGUGUCAGUGAUAACACUUGGCUUUAACCAGAAGGAAAAGAAAAAUGAAGCACAGUCCUGUACCCUA